CAAAAUCAAAUAUUCAAUUAUAAAUAGUAAAUUAGGUCAAAACAAAACAAAGCUUUACUGCUUUAGUUUGCAAAUUGAAAUUGCAUUUGCUUCUCCUACUCACUCCGCAACCUUCAGCAAAAAGUUGGUCAAAAACUCAAAAACGAAGAACGAAGGAAACAACAUAGUACGAACGGACAAAGGGAAUCAGUCACCUGUCUAACGAGAAACGGUAACAGCGGCGAACGAAGGUACUUUUCUAUUUUUUUUGUUUUUCUUGUUCUUCCCAUUCUGUCAAUUAAUUUUCAUGUUGUAAGUGAUAUCUUGGUUGCAUAAUUUCUCUGAUGAGAAAAGAUCGAUGAGAAAAUAUCUUCGCUUGAUUCCAAUCCAUUCUACUCAUUUAUUGUUACUAUAGUUCUUUACUAGCAAUAAGUUGACAUACUAUUUGAAUACUAGUGAAUUCUACUUUGCAGGCCUAUUAAUAUGAUAUGGAUUAGUGAUUUUCUUUGAAGUUUGUGACCUUUGGAUUUUGAAUUUUAGGGUAUAUCCUUUCUUUCUGAUUGCUUUCGUAAAGCUUACAAUUAUGUUAAUAUUAAGAUACUAUUAUUUAAGACUUGGAGUAUUGUGGUCAUUAUAUUAAAAUUUUAUAAUUUUUAGGCUAAUUAUAGUGAAGUUUUUCAUUAUUAAAAGGUACAUGACAUAUUAUUCAUUAUUUCCUUACUGGAAUGAAAUUUGUAUUGUUGCAAUGACAAAAAUAGGUUUGUUCAUAUGUACGGCAAUGACAAAACUGUAUUAUUUCCUUACUAGCACUAUUAAUUUUAUUUUCUCUUUCAAUUUUACAUAGAUGGAUGAUGAAAGUCGAGUUAGUGCGGUUGGUUCAACAUAUAGCGUACCCGAUAAAAGAAAUGACAACUCAAUUGACAUUGCUGUCAAUUUUCUAGAAUCAAGUGAUUAGAAGUCCCUUUGUGUACAACACUGGAAAUGAUUUAAGGGUUCUUGGCAUGUGACAUUUGCAAUGCAAAAUGGAAAAUGGAACAUAGCAUAAGUGGAACAGUUGUUGGCUUACAACAAGACUUCAUAAGUGGCUCAUACAGUCAUGCAUUUAUAGAAAAUACAAUAAUCAAGGUGCUAAAAUGGGACAAUUACAAAACCGAUAAACCAAAUUUAUUAACUAAAAACAUAACCAAACCGAACUGAAAUAAACCGAAUCGAACCGAAUUAUGGUAUACCUAAAUAGAAAACCAAAUUAAAAAAAAUAAAAUCAAACCGUAUUCCCGAAUGCCCACCUCUAUUUUUUGGUGUAGGUUCCUAAAAAUAUGGAGAACAUGUUUUCGAAAUAAAGUUUCGAUUUUGCCCUUUUUAUUGGAAACCCAUUUUGGGGGUCCGAACCAAAAGUAGUCAAUAUGGGUGUCGUUGAUUUUGUCUUAAUGCGUAGAUUUCAUAUUUGAUAUUUUUAGUGGAGUUCGGGAUUAUUCGUGAAAAGUAAGGUCACAGGUUCAAGUGUAGCGGAUCGAUUUUGGCUUUCGAGAUAGGUUGUGGCUUAAAUCUUUCAAACUGGGCUGGGUAGUAAAUGAUGAUAGAAAAUUCACGUUAAUCAUGAAAAAUGGCUAUCUAUGUGUUGUGCCCGUGUGGGCGCGUAUAUGUGAUUAAUUAUCAAAAUUGAGAAAUUAUGUGAUAUAUUUAAUCGUGUGGGGUCCUAUGUGAUAUUGAUACCUUUGAAUACAUAUGAAUAAUUAUAUUGUGUUGUUUAAUUUGGUACUAUUGAUGUAUUGUGAUUAUAUUCAGACUUGAUUGGCAUAUGAGACAUGUGGAAAUUAAUGGAUGAAAUGAAAAUAAUAAAUGAUAUUGGCUCAUGUGGCAGUGGAAAUGUAUCAUUGUGGUUGGUUGUGGAAAUAUAUCAUGUGAUUGGUUGUGAAAAUACUCAUUGUGAUUGGUUGUGAGCAUUACAUCUUCAUAUCAUACUCAUUCAUGAAACAUUGGUACCACCAUAGCAACAUCUGAGAAACACUGGUAACACCUUUUUAAAAAAAUAGUGUGAUAACCUUAUAAAACCCUUUUCGAGGGAUAUGCUGGAAAAGAGAUAUGAGAUAUAUGGAUUGUAUACGGAUUGACAAACCCUCCAUGGGUCCUACGUAGGAAAGCUUUACCUCCGUAGGUGUAUAUGGGGAUUGUGCGACGAUCCCGGAGGUUGUGCGAUGACCUCGUGCAUUAUCAUCAUCAUCAUCAUCAUUAUAUACAUUGCACUUAAUUUAUUGUGUUUAUGUUGUGUUGUAUUUCCUUAUUGACUUGUCAUCUAUGUAUUUUUCUUACCUUCCUUUUCUUGUAUUUUAUGAUCUUGUAUCUACAUGUUCUCUCUAGUUCUAUUGGUAUGUGACAUAAUGUAUACUUGUGUUAUAUACCUUGGUGUGUUGUUUUAAUAUAUGUGAGAUAUAUUAGAACUGUUAGUGUAAGCGGUGUAAGCUACCGUUGUAGGACAAUUUCUGAUUGUAGGUGACGUGCCCUUAGUGUAUCUUUUGUAUGCUUUAUUUACUACUUUGCUUGGUAUGCCUAUGAUACCUACUGAGUACAAGUGGAUCGUAUUCAUGCCUACUGUGUCAUUUCGGUGCAGGUCUUAGCUCGAGUGCACCUCAGCUUGAUUGACUCAGGGGAUUGUUGGAGCUUUCAAGGUAGCGGUUGGACAUUCAUACGUUCGAAGUUCACCUCUAUCUUUCUAUAAUUGUUAUGUCUUUAUUAGUAUUCGGAGACAGUUAUUAUUCCUUUAUGGUUAUUUUUUUUCGAUGUAUUUGACUCUUGGAUUGUAUUAGUAGUUCUUACAUUAUUGACACCUGGUUUUGGGUAUGAUUGGUAUUUUGGAUAAGUUCUUUCCGCAUUGUUAUGAUUACUUUAUAGUUCGGCUUCAUUUUAGAAGACUUACCAUGGGA
Molecule: long non-coding RNA, 2900 nt
Filed under: Capsicum annuum
Lineage: Eukaryota; Viridiplantae; Streptophyta; Magnoliopsida; Solanales; Solanaceae
Description: long non-coding RNA (CANN_LNC001065)
Source: RNAcentral